CCGGGACCCCCCGGGACCCCCCGGGACCCCGCGGACCCCCCGGACCCCCCGGGACCCCCGGGACCCCGCCCCCAGCGCAGCGCGGCCGCAGCUCCAGGUGAUGGUGACACUUCAGCCCAGGCCCAGAUGACGCCAGUGAGGAGCCACCAGCCCCUGGUGGCCUCGGAGCCGCUCCCUGCCGUCCCCGGGGUGGCACCUCGGCACCAGCCCUGGAGCUGCCCCGGGGAUCCUGGUGUGCCACCAACGGGGGGUCCCCACAAAGGCCCCUGGGGACACCCAUGCCACCGGGACCCCGAGCUGGGGACAUUGCCAUGGACUGGCCACAGAGCCACUGACUGACCACGGGGACAGUGACCAUGCACAGAGCCACGGAGCAGCCACGGGGCCACUGCCCGGCCACAGAGCUUCAGAGCCACGGGCUUGUCCUGUCCCCAGCCCCGGACACGGCUCGGACACCCCGGACAUUCGGGCACUGCCACUCGCCAAUGCCACCGAGGAUGGGAUCGGUCACAGGCCACGUCCCUGCAGGGCAGGGGGACAGACAGACCUGGCAGCCGCGGUGACACCGAGCGAUGGGUCCUGAGGUGACACCGAGCAAUGGCUCCUGUGGUGACAAUGGGCAAGCGAUGGCUCCUGAGGUGACACCGGGCAAUGGUUCCUACAGUGACACUGAGCAAGCGACGGCUCCUGCAGUGACACCGAGCAAUGGCUCCUGAGGUGACACUGGGCACUGGGCCCACCAUUGACACUGAGCACUGGCUCCUGCAGUGACACCGAGCACCGUCCCCACCGGUGACGCCAAGCACCAGCUCCUCUGGUGACCUCCUGCCAUCCCUGGGUGCUCUGGUGGCUGAGGGACAGGAGCCCGGGGACACCCAGGACGUGCUGGCAGGAGCUGGGGGCACUGCUCUGUCCCAUGCCAUGGUGGCUCUGUGCCAUGUCCCCUCAUCCUGUGCCAUGUUCCUGUCACCCUGUGCCAUGUCCUCAGUGGUCUGUGCCGUGUCCCCAUCACUCUGUGUCACAUCAGCA
Prinia subflava (tawny-flanked prinia) is the source of this 1029-nucleotide long non-coding RNA. RefSeq lists it as uncharacterized. The record is from RefSeq and is a predicted model, not a curated record. The transcript has 2 exons. Lineage: Eukaryota; Metazoa; Chordata; Aves; Passeriformes; Cisticolidae.